This 4454-nucleotide long non-coding RNA is filed under the name Homo sapiens (human). RNAcentral describes it as "HSALNT0338279". The record is from RNAcentral. Lineage: Eukaryota; Metazoa; Chordata; Mammalia; Primates; Hominidae.
GAAAUAUUUCUCAGACUCUUGGAGAAGCUGUCCCCUCACAGGGAAUGGGGAGAACAGUCUCUUAAGUUUCCCCAGAGAAGCUUUGUCACAAGUAAUCUCAAAUCCAGAUCUGGUUGAAUUCUCUGAGAGAGAAAGAAAUGCAAAAUUAACACUCAACUCAGGAAGGUUGAUUAAGAGAAGGUGCUAAUAUUUGCUUUCCUUUUCCUCAAUUCUGAAAAUAUCAUACUUCAUUUUUUUUCUUUUACCGCUGUUUAUAAGUAUGUUCACUUUGCUAUCAGGUCAGUUUGGUUCGUGUGGGACAUUUCGCUAGGAUUUUAUUUCUUUUCUUAAUAAAUAGUCAAUAUUUGUCAACAUAUCACUUUUGACAUUCUGUUUUUUAAAUACGCUUUGUAGAAAGUGAGAGAUUUCUUUAAAUGAAAUGAUUUCAGUCGCAGAACACACAUUUGUUUUUAAUCUCUGGUCCCAGUGGUAUUUAUCUCUUACUAAGAAAGCAAGCUUUCCUUUUAGAAAGUGAUCUGUUCCCUCAUUGUUUUAUUUAUAAUUUAGAGUAUGGGUAGUCUGUCUGCUGAAAUGAAAAUAAUGACCACAGCCUAUUAAGUUUCUCCAAAUGGAACAGGUGAUACCCAGGGUUUCAAAAGUCUGAAAAUAACAAAUGAUCAAUGAGCAAAGAAAUGAAGGUAUAAGGCCUAAAAUUUGCAACAUAAAAAUAAACACAUCCUCAAGAAAUACUGAAAUCGAUUUUUAUUUCCUUGGCUCACAUUUGUGCUCAUUACACAUCAGACAUUUCCAUGAUAUUCAACUCCCUACGGUUUAGAUGUGAGAAUAGCACAUGGAAACAAGGACACUCACACCCAGUUGUGUUUCCCAUCCCUGUUUCCUGGCUCAUCACUACAUGAUGAGAUGCUUGAGGGAGCUGCUCUUCACACUUAACGCCCAGCACUCAGCGUGUGCCCAGAUAGAAUGGAGGCAUGGAUGGUAGCCUGCUCCAUUUUAAUAUUAGAUUAAAAUGCAAGCAUCUCAUUUCUUUCUACAAAAUUAAAAUAUAAGACUGUCAGGAUCCAUAAGUGUCUCUUAUAAUGAAAGUGGAAGAAUUAGAAUCCAUAAUCUUAUUUUUGCAAUAAAAAUAUGAAUCACUGUUCACAAAUAUUCAGCGCAAUAGAAUACCAAGUGAGAUUGUGCCUGUCUUAGAAAGAAAGGCAAGCUCUCAAUCUGUGGAUACCAUAUGGAUGUCGCUGAGAAGGAGUGGGGACUUGGGCAGCAAAGCUGCCAGGCGUUGGGGAGCAUAUGGAAGUGGCCUGUUUGGGGCCACAGACGGUCGGGCAAUGCUUCCUUCUCUCUUCACAGUUGUCUAACAUAUUGCCACUGUCUACAUGAGCAUAACUUAAUAGCCAAUUUGAAUUCUAUUGUAGUUAAACUUGGUGUUAUCCUGUUAGUAAACUAGCUUAUAUUGCACAAUCGAGUCCAAAGAUUAUUUUUGCUUUAUUUACUACAUAAAGCAAAUACUCUGUAAAGAACUGAAACCACUUUUAUUCAUAGACUAUAUUGGAGAUUUUCUUUUCUUUUCUUUUUUCUCUUCUUUUCUUGUCCUAAGACAUAACAUAGUACCUUCAAUGAAGAUGACGGUGGUAGUGCUAGUAUAGUAUACAAAUUAGAAAAAGGAUAAUUGCAGAGAUCAGAAUCUAAGCUACAUUUUACUUUUUUUAAAAAAAAAAGAUUGUCAGGUUAUCAUGUUAAAAUUAGCAUCUUCUCUAUAUUAAUAAAUCAAUUCUGUGAUUAAAAGUCCAGAAAUAAAAUAACAAAUAAAUGUGCAUUUUAUUUAGCUAUUUUUAGUGUGCUAUUGGAUUUGAAGCUAAUUUGGCUAAGCACACGUUUGGAUUUCCAUCUUUUUUGGUAUCACUUCCUAGGAUUUUAGUGCAGUGGCUCCUAAAAAGAAUGCUCAAAUAUUACUUAUAAUCCCCCAAGAUAUAUCUUCUUUGCAUGGAAUAAAAUGUGAACUAACUUGGAGAAAGGAACACUUUAGACAUACAUUUCAUUAAUGUAAAUAUCCACCUCAAACUAUGUGGAUUAGCAUCUCUUAGAAUUGAUGUUACAAUGCUAACAAGAGAAAAAGAAAACAAAGUACCGGUCUACAAAAAUAUUUGUCUAAUGCCGAAUGUUAGAUUAUUAAACAGAAAAGCACAUUAGCUAAUGUGAAAUGAUGUUUUUCUCCAAAUUUAUUACAUUUUCCCCCUCUGUGUUAAAUUUUCUUUAAAAGGAGAUCUCACAGGAGUGGAUAGGCAAGCUGGAUCUGUGAGCAGCUACAAAUAGAAGCACAAGACAAAGUAAUCUAUAGGCUGGCACUCACAUUCAUUUACUAAAUAAGGUCGUGAGCAAUAUUAGGCACAUUUUUCUGACACCUUUCCCAGUUGACUAGAAGUUGAGUGCAUUUAGUAAAGGAAGUACACAGUGAACUGUUGUUAGUAUUUAUCAGGAAACGUGAUGAGUGGCCCUGAAAUAGAGCAUCUUACCAUCCAAAUUUCUCAGUAGCCUUAAUAAAGAAUAGUCAGUAGCCUUAGUGCAGACUAGCUGGAGUAGAUCUAAGCAGUAUUAAUGUGGCAGUCCGCCUCAGCAUGAAAGUGGAGCUUUGCAAAAGGACGAGAAAUGGAUUUGGAUGGGCAAGGUUGAAAGUAGUUAAAGAAAAGCCAUUGCAACUCAGCAGUGAACAAGGCAAAGACAGUCAAUUGAAAUCAACCCUCCAUUGCACAGUAAGAGUAUAUGUGUGAAGUUCUUGAGCCGAGCCCCUAAAAGUCUCCAUGAACAUCAAACCACGCCUGUUGGGGGACCUCAGUUCUCUACCAAAUGUCUUGUUAAUUGAGCUUUGGCAAAUGUCUCCAUGAGGACCAUUGUCACCCGUCAUGCUCAUGAGAGUCACGGCCUACGCUUCCACAUACUUUUAAAAAUCUUAUUAAAGAUUACAGAGCAGUCAGGUGAGUACACAGACAAUUACAUCCAGACGAUGAACAGAAGGACAGAAUAAUGUACUAACUUUCUGCUCUUUAAUGGACUUUACCUGUGACCCAAAUAUAUUCCUUCUAAAGCAUUUAUAGAACUAUCAAAGUUUAGAUAUUGUAAUACCAAUGUGUAAUCCAUUCUAUAAUGCAGAAUAUCUUUCUAAAAUGUGAAAAAGUGCCAAGUAUUCAAUUCAACACAGUAAGUGUUGAACAUGAGGACAAAGAAAAUUCACUGGAGGGCCUUCAUUAAAAAAUAUCCCCACUGAAAAUAAAGCAGAGACCACCAGAGUGGACAGAGCACUCACCAUGGCCUUAGAAGGUGGAGCUUCCAAGCGGAUGCACCCAUUUCUAUGGGCUGAGGACCAUAACCUCUGAGCAUUAACUUCCUCUUCCAAAGCACAUGGAUGAUAUCUACUGCAGAGGCAUGUUGAAGGGAUUAAAUUGGUUAACGCAUACUGAAGCAGCCACUAAAUUUCUCUGUUAAAUACAUGUAUCUCUUCCCCUUACUUUUGCUGAGAACAAAAUAAUUUCUGUUCUUUGUUGCACCCAGUUUGUACUGAAGGGCAUAACCUUGAAUAUUUGAAAAGGAAAACUCUCUUCAGUUCAAUGGAAGAUAUAGGACAUGUUAAGUAAGAAACAGCAAGCUCUUUAAAUCAGUGAAUAGCUGUAUUGGGGGGAAAAAUGUGGUUCAUCCCAAGGCAGCCAAAAGUUGACCUGGUGAACUGUCUGGUUGGUUUUAUGCCCUAUUUAAACACACAUUAAACAGAUCUGAAGUGUCUUAAAAUGGAAAAAUGUCUUCGUUCAAAUAAUAAGAACUUAAUAAAAUUCUUCAUUACUUCACUGGAGCCUUAUUUGACAAUACUAAAUUUUUUCUCCUAGGCUUACAUGAUAGAUUCUAUCACAGAAUCUUUCUCUCCCACCACCUUUUUUUUAAAUUCCCUUUGGCUCUUAACUCUACCAUUAUGACAGCAACACUUAAAGCUGACCUUUUUUUGACAGAGUUAGCAAUUCUCCUCCAGGCUAUGUAGUGAUUCUUCAAUGCUUAUGUGUAAAUUAUGCAACUGUCUCAUACUUCACAGAAACAUUUUAUAAUCCUGUGUACUAUUCCAUCAUUGGUUUAAUGAAAACAUUAACACUUGGUUUCCAUAAUAUUUACCAUAUGGUAAAGUCACUGUUUUAUAGAGUAAAGGGACAGAUAGCUGAGGUCAAUUUAAAUAAUUGUCUUAAAAUUCCCCAUGAUGAACAAAUUUUUUAAAUUUAUCUUAUCUACCAAUAGCAUGGAAAUAUCAAGCUUAUAUACACAGGUGGACUUGCACCUUUACCGUAUUUGAUUAUUUUUCAUAACUUAGAAUCUAGGCAUAUAUCUAUGUAAUGGAGUUUUUACAGAAGCCUUUGGACAAGAACACAUUUGUUGUAAUUCUCGGUAUUUAAAUCAAUUGCGCAUAAUAAAAUGACUCAUGAAAA